GCUUUUCACCUGUCACAGAGCAUCCCAUAAUCAAGCCAUGCCGCCGCACACCACGGUACCAUUUCGGACCAAUUCUUUUUAUUUGAACAUUUUUGAAACCAGCCUUUCGAAACCAUUCAAUGUACUCUUCCUCCUUUGGGAAGAGCAUCCACAAAUCUGCAAAGAAACGAGACAACCAAAAGGUAGGGUACACAGGGCCAAUUAUACAGGCUUUUCCACCGAUUUUCAGUACUCUGUAAGCCUCCCUAAUGCCACGCUGUGGAUCUGGCCAGUACUCAAUACUGAGGAGGACAAACAAAAUAUUAAGUAUUUUGUAAGAAUGACUCUAAAGCAAUUUUUUUUCCCAUGAAGCCAACAAUCAUAGAUUCAUGAUAAUCAUUUACAAUCAUCACAAAAUACCCUGCAUUAGACAACCCAAAAACUAAUAACAAGAAGAAAAUACCUUUGAAAAACAAAAUUCUAAUCUUAUCCAUAAAUGGAGAGCUAAAGAAAAUAAAAAUAACAGAACAAUAAACAAAAAAGAAUACCUUCCAGCAGAGAUAUAUCUAUCUGCAUAAUCAGUUGGAAAUGGGAGAUCCUCUGCAUCACCUUCAAUUAUCCUGCAUUCCUUCAAAGGCUCCUUCUCCUUAGCCUUGGCAAGCUGGUGAGGGGAUUGGUCCAGAAUAGUGACAUUUUUUGCAUCCACAUGCUUAACUAUGCCUAGAGUAGUGAACCCAGUCCCGCCUCCGACAUCAACCACUGUCAUUUUCCUAUCAUAAAGAUCAGCGGGCUCGAGUGCCUCAUCCCGCAUAUCCUCUGUCCAGUGUCCAGGGUUUAUGAUAUGAUCAUAUACUAUGGACAGGAAUCUAUAGAACCAGAAC
This 860-nucleotide long non-coding RNA is filed under the name Vitis vinifera (wine grape). RNAcentral's name for it is "long non-coding RNA (VVIN_LNC001371)". The record is from RNAcentral. Lineage: Eukaryota; Viridiplantae; Streptophyta; Magnoliopsida; Vitales; Vitaceae.